RNAcentral lists this ribosomal RNA (525 nucleotides) under uncultured bacterium. RNAcentral describes it as "bacterial SSU rRNA". It matches the Rfam family "Archaeal small subunit ribosomal RNA", at positions 724 to 1255 of the family's 1478-position model. The record is from RNAcentral.
AGAGAAUAGAUACCCAGGUAGUCCCAGCUGUAAACGAUGCAGGCUAGGUGUUUGGACGGCCACGUGCCGUUCUAGUGCCGCAGGGAAGCUGUUAAGCCUGCCGCCUGGGGAGUACGAUCGCAAGAUUGAAACUUAAAGGAAUUGGCGGGGAGCACCACAAGGGGUGAAAGCUUGCGGUUUAAUUGGAGUCAACGCCGGAAAUCUCACCGGGAGCGACAGCAGUGUGAAGGCCAGAUUAAAGGUCUUGCCAGACGAGCUGAGAGGAGGUGCAUGGCCGUCGCCAGUUCGUGCCGUGAGGUGUCCUGUUAAGUCAGGCAACGAUCGAGACCCGCAUCCUCUGUUGCAACCAGCUUUGGGCUGGGCACACUGAGGAGACCGCCACUGAUAAAGUGGAGGAAGGAGCGGGCCACGGCAGGUCAGUAUGCCCCGAAUCUCCCGGGCCACACGCGAGCUGCAAUGGCAGGUACAAUGGGUUCCGACCUCGAAAGGGGAAGGCAAUCUCGAAAGCCUGCCGUAGUUGGGAUC